GUUUUGUCAGCAGUGCAGCAGGUUGGCUGCUGCAAUUUUUUUUUCUCCUCCAAUCAUGAUUCAUUGAUACUUAUCUCCGUGCUUAGUAUUUUAAAACUAUAUUUAUCCGCACUUUGAAUGCUAGAUGGCUUAUAACGGUGAUGGUGAAAUUACUUUAAAGAUUCUGUAUGAAACUGUGAAUAUGUAACUGUUGGUUUUUCGGUUUAAUUGGGAAAAAAUGUUGAAGCAAAAUGGAAUAGAACUGAAUGUUGGAUGAGAAAUUAUGUUUAGUCAUACAGAACUGCAGAUCCUUAGGUUUUUCAGUCCAUGUAGGCAGAUUUAAUUUGGCAGGAAAGAAUGUGCCUAAUUGUUUUUUUUUUUUUU
This 363-nucleotide unclassified non-coding RNA is filed under the name Hevea brasiliensis (rubber tree). The record is from RNAcentral. Lineage: Eukaryota; Viridiplantae; Streptophyta; Magnoliopsida; Malpighiales; Euphorbiaceae.